RNAcentral lists this ribosomal RNA (523 nucleotides) under uncultured eukaryote. RNAcentral describes it as "SSU rRNA". It matches the Rfam family "Eukaryotic small subunit ribosomal RNA", at positions 21 to 549 of the family's 1831-position model. The record is from RNAcentral.
UAGUCAUAUGCUUGUCUCAAAGAUUAAGCCAUGCAUGUCUAAGUAUACGCAAAUUAUACUGUGAAACUGCGAAUGGCUCAUUAAAUCAGUUAUAGUUUAUUUGAUGUUUCUUGCUACAUGGAUAACUGUGGUAAUUCUAGAGCUAAUACAUGCGUAAAAAGCCCCGACUUCUGGAAGGGGUGUAUUUAUUAGAUAAAAACCAUCCUCCUCGGAGUUUGGUGAUUCAUAAUAACUUCUCGAAUCGCACGGCCUUGUGCUGGCGAUGCUUCACUCAAAUAUCUGCCCUAUCAACUGUCGAUGGUAGGAUAGAGGCCUACCAUGGUUGCAACGGGUAACGGGGAAUAAGGGUUCGAUUCCGGAGAGGGAGCCUGAGAAACGGCUACCACAUCCAAGGAAGGCAGCAGGCGCGCAAAUUACCCACUCCCGACCCGGGGAGGUAGUGACGAAAAAUAACAAUACAGGACUCUUUCGAGGCCCUGUAAUUGGAAUGAGUCCACUUUAAAUCCUUUAACGAGGAUCCAUU